AUGCACGCUGGCGGCGUGCCUAAUACCUGCCAGUCGAGCGAACGGACGAGAAGCUUGCUUCUCUGAUGUUAGCGGCGGACGGGUGAGUAACACGUGGAUAACCUACCUAUAAGACUGGGAUAACUUCGGGAAACCGUAGCUAAUACCGGAUAAUAUUUUGAACCGCAUGGUUCAAAAGUGAAAGACGGUCUUGCUGUCACUUAUAGAUGGAUCCGCGCUGCAUUAGCUAGUUGGUAAGGUAACGGCUUACCAAGGCAACGAUGCAUAGCCGACCUGAGAGGGUGAUCGGCCACACUGGAACUGAGACACGGUCCAGACUCCUACGGGAGGCAGCAGUAGGGAAUCUUCCGCAAUGGGCGAAAGCCUGACGGAGCAACGCCGCGUGAGUGAUGAAGGUCUUCGGAUCGUAAAACUCUGUUAUUAGGGAAGAACAUAUGUGUAAGUAACUGUGCACAUCUUGACGGUACCUAAUCAGAAAGCCACGGCUAACUACGUG
Molecule: ribosomal RNA, 496 nt
Filed under: uncultured bacterium
Lineage: Bacteria
Description: partial 16S ribosomal RNA
Rfam family: Bacterial small subunit ribosomal RNA
Source: RNAcentral